RNAcentral lists this ribosomal RNA (253 nucleotides) under uncultured bacterium. Its description in RNAcentral is "partial 16S ribosomal RNA". It matches the Rfam family "Bacterial small subunit ribosomal RNA", at positions 524 to 776 of the family's 1533-position model. The record is from RNAcentral.
UACGUAGGGGGCAAGCGUUGUCCGGAUUCAUUGGGCGUAAAGAGCGUGUAGGCGGCCAGGUAGGUCGGUUGUGAAAACUGGAGGCUCAACCUUCAGAGGUCGACCGAAACCAUCUGGCUAGAGUCCGGGAGAGGAGAGUGGAAUUCCUGGUGUAGCGGUGAAAUGCGCAGAUAUCAGGAGGAACACCGGUGGCGAAGGCGGAUCUCUGGGCCGUAACUGACGCUGAGGAGCGAAAGCGUGGGGAGCGAACAGG